CUUGGUGGUCCUGUCGCGCGGCCUGACGAUCUGCGGGCUCCUAAUGAGCUCUUGUUUCCCAAGGCAUUCUGAUGCACUCCAAAGCCUGUGAAGGUUGAGAAGUCCCACGGACCUUCAGAAAAGGCUGUGCCAAAGCCAUUCCAGGCAGAUGAAAGCCCCCUCUGAUAGGAAGAAACUCUCUGGAGGAGUGACUGGUUUCCACACUUCAGAGGAAAUUGAGGCUCAGAAAGAUGGUUCACUUGCUCAAGAGAAACUGGUGGUGCCGCGAUUCUCAGCAGGAUCUGCUGAGCUCCAAGCUGUGUCUGUGACACCAGGCUGCCUCCUCACCCCCACCACUGCCACGGCCCCUCUCGGGGCACCUCGGGGUGCCUUGCAGGUCCCAAAUGCCCACCAGCAAACUGGUGCUGGUCCCUGAUGAUGGCGUCACCAGGCCUAGAAGAAGUGGGAAAGAUAAAGUAAUACAGCUCUUUUCACUCAGCUAAAGUCUGUUUAAAGGAUUGGCCUCAAUUCUGAGAUUAUUUUCUUCAUUUUUAGGGUUAAAAAUUUAAA
Molecule: long non-coding RNA, 549 nt
Organism: Equus quagga
Lineage: Eukaryota; Metazoa; Chordata; Mammalia; Perissodactyla; Equidae
Exons: 3
Source: RefSeq, a predicted model, not a curated record